GCCCGGGUGGUGAAAUUGGUAGACGCAGGGGACUCAAAAUCCCCCGCCGCAAGGCGUGUCGGUUCGAUUCCGACCCCGGGCACCA
This 85-nucleotide transfer RNA is filed under the name Comamonadaceae bacterium CG_4_9_14_0_8_um_filter_57_21. RNAcentral describes it as "tRNA-Leu". It matches the Rfam family "tRNA". From Rfam's summary of the family: Transfer RNA (tRNA) molecules are approximately 80 nucleotides in length. RNAcentral also lists the same sequence under 3 other names. Lineage: Bacteria; Pseudomonadati; Pseudomonadota; Betaproteobacteria; Burkholderiales; Comamonadaceae. The record is from RNAcentral.